GCCCUUAUAGCUCAGUGGUAGAGCGCAGCACUCGUAUUAUCGGUCACGGGUCCACAACCCGUAAAUGAAAUGAUCAUGCUGAGGUCCGCGGUUCAAUCCCGCGUGGGGGCA
RNAcentral lists this transfer RNA (111 nucleotides) under Thermochaetoides thermophila DSM 1495. RNAcentral's name for it is "Chaetomium thermophilum var. thermophilum DSM 1495 tRNA". It matches the Rfam family "tRNA". From Rfam's summary of the family: Transfer RNA (tRNA) molecules are approximately 80 nucleotides in length. The record is from Rfam by way of RNAcentral. Lineage: Eukaryota; Fungi; Ascomycota; Sordariomycetes; Sordariales; Chaetomiaceae.